UCCAAUGCUUGAUGCCUUGCUGUUGCUACAGCCAACCAAAAAAGAAAGCAGCUUUCCGCAGCUUCUACUGUUGAUUAGAGGGCCAUAUUGCUACAUAAGAAAAAGGACCAUAAAUCAAUGCCCUUCUCUAAUAUAAGGGGCCCUCCUCAGGAUUCCUGCCUACGUCGGAGCCACAGCUGCAAGUCCUCCCACCAUAGCCAAUCUACAAUCAUGUUGAACUGUUUGCCCUAUCAUAUAAAGAGCCCUUUAUGCACUGUGGCUGUGCUUGCCAUUCUUUUGCACCCAUGUGUCCUGAUGCAUAAAAGGUAC
This 309-nucleotide long non-coding RNA is filed under the name Phoenix dactylifera (date palm). RNAcentral's name for it is "long non-coding RNA (PDAC_LNC013052)". Lineage: Eukaryota; Viridiplantae; Streptophyta; Magnoliopsida; Arecales; Arecaceae. The record is from RNAcentral.